GAUGAACGCUGGCGGCGUGCUUAACACAUGCAAGUCGAACGAUGAAGCCCAGCUUGCUGGGUGGAUUAGUGGCGAACGGGUGAGUAACACGUGAGUAACCUGCCCUUGACUCUGGGAUAAGCCUGGGAAACUGGGUCUAAUACUGGAUAUGACUUCUCAUCGCAUGGUGGGGGGUGGAAAGAUUUAUUGGUCUUGGAUGGACUCGCGGCCUAUCAGCUUGUUGGUGAGGUAAUGGCUCACCAAGGCGACGACGGGUAGCCGGCCUGAGAGGGUGACCGGCCACACUGGGACUGAGCCACGGCCCAGACUCCUACGGGAGGCAGCAGUGGGGAAUAUUGCACAAUGGGCGCAAGCCUGAUGCAGCGACGCCGCGUGAGGGAUGACGGCCUUCGGGUUGUAAACCUCUUUCAGUAGGGAAGAAGCGAGAGUGACGAUACCUGCAGAAGAAGCGCCGGCUAACUACGUG
RNAcentral lists this ribosomal RNA (466 nucleotides) under uncultured bacterium. Its description in RNAcentral is "partial 16S ribosomal RNA". It matches the Rfam family "Bacterial small subunit ribosomal RNA", at positions 28 to 507 of the family's 1533-position model. The record is from RNAcentral.